Molecule: ribosomal RNA, 343 nt
Filed under: Juglandaceae environmental sample
Lineage: Eukaryota; Viridiplantae; Streptophyta; Magnoliopsida; Fagales; Juglandaceae
Description: eukaryotic LSU rRNA
Rfam family: 5.8S ribosomal RNA (bases 1-84)
Source: RNAcentral
UGCAGANUCCCGCGAAUCAUCGAGUCUUUGAACGCAAGUUGCGCCCGAAGCCAUUCGGCCGAGGGCACGUCUGCCUGGGUGUCACGCAUCGUUGCCCCCACCCCAACACCUCGUAUGAUGUGUGCGGUGCGGGGCAGAAAUUGGCCUCCCGUGCGCGUUGCUCGCGGUUAGCCCAAAAGCGAGUCCUGGGCGACGAGCGCCACGACAAUCGGUGGUUGACAAAACCCUCGUGCCCCGUCGUGCGUUGCUCGACGCCGUGAAGGCUCUCCUCGACCCUAUUGCGUCGUUCUUGCGACUCUACCAUCGCGACCCCAGGUCAGGCGGGAUUACCCGCUGAAUUUAA